Molecule: ribosomal RNA, 460 nt
Filed under: uncultured bacterium
Lineage: Bacteria
Description: partial 16S ribosomal RNA
Rfam family: Bacterial small subunit ribosomal RNA
Source: RNAcentral
CCUACGGGAGGCUGCAGUGAGGAAUAUUGGUCAAUGGACGAGAGUCUGAACCAGCCAAGUAGCGUGAAGGAUGACUGCCCUAUGGGUUGUAAACUUCUUUUAUCUGGGAAUAAAACGUUCCACGUGUGGGAUUUUGUAUGUACCAUAUGAAUAAGGAUCGGCUAACUCCGUGCCAGCAGCCGCGGUAAUACGGAGGAUCCGAGCGUUAUCCGGAUUUAUUGGGUUUAAAGGGAGCGUAGGUGGAUUGUUAAGUCAGUUGUGAAAGUUUGCGGCUCAACCGUAAAAUUGCGGUUGAAACUGGCAGUCUUGAGUACAGUAGAGGUAGGCGGAAUUCGUGGUGUAGCGGUGAAAUGCUUAGAUAUCACGAAGAACUCCGAUUGCGAAGGCAGUUCACUGGACUGCAACUGACACUGAGGCUCGAAAGUGUGGGUAUCAAACAGGAUUAGAUACCCUUGUAGUC